RNAcentral lists this long non-coding RNA (253 nucleotides) under Elaeis guineensis (African oil palm). RNAcentral's name for it is "long non-coding RNA (EGUI_LNC042508)". The record is from RNAcentral. Lineage: Eukaryota; Viridiplantae; Streptophyta; Magnoliopsida; Arecales; Arecaceae.
GGGAGUGGGGCGGCGUCUGUUGUCGCGAUUCGCCAGCAGAUGGGAGAAUCGCACGGUAUCCAUCGCAGGAAGUGGAGCAGGAUCGUGGCCGUUAUUGUGGUCUGCCAGGGAGUAGUGGAGCUGCGCGAGACCCGUCGUAGGGAGUGGAGUAGUGCUGUGACCGUUACUGCGGCCUGUCAGGGAGUGAUGGAGCUGCGUAGAGUCCGCCGCAGGGAGUGGAACAGUGUUGUCCAUUACUGUGGCCUGCCAGGGG